GUCGAGCGGACCUCUUCGGAGGUCAGCGGCGGACGGGUGAGUACACGUGGGCAACCUGCCUGUAAGACUGGGAUAACUCCGGGAAACCGGAGCUAAUACCGGAUAGUAUCUUGAACCGCAUGGUUCAAGUUGGAAAGACGGUUUCGGCUGUCACUUACAGAUGGGCCCGCGGCGCAUUAGCUAGUUGGUGAGGUAAUGGCUCACCAAGGCAACGAUGCGUAGCCGACCUGAGAGGGUGAUCGGCCACACUGGGACUGAGACACGGCCCAGACUCCUACGGGAGGCAGCAGUAGGGAAUCUUCCGCAAUGGACGAAAGUCUGACGGAGCAACGCCGCGUGAGUGAUGAAGGUUUUCGGAUCGUAAAACUCUGUUGUUAGGGAAGAACAAGUGCGAGAGUAACUGCUCGCACCUUGACGGUACCUAACCAGAAAGCCACGGCUAACUACGUGCCAGCAGCCGCGGUAAUACGUAGGUGGCAAGCGUUGUCCGGAAUUAUUGGGCGUAAAGCGCGCGCAGGCGGUUUCUUAAGUCUGAUGUGAAAGCCCCCGGCUCAACCGGGGAGGGUCAUUGGAAACUGGGAAACUUGAG
Molecule: ribosomal RNA, 589 nt
Filed under: uncultured Bacillus sp.
Lineage: Bacteria; Bacillati; Bacillota; Bacilli; Caryophanales; Bacillaceae
Description: bacterial SSU rRNA
Rfam family: Bacterial small subunit ribosomal RNA
Source: RNAcentral